GCCACACUUCCGUUUCCUGACAGCUCUACUGGUGUUAAUCAUCUAAAUAAAUAUCUUGUAAAGCUUGCUUUUGUGCGUUGAGGAUCCAGUGCAUGAAUGAAUGGGCACAUUUUGUUUGUUGCAAGUCAAUUUACAAAAGAAAAAGACAGAUUCCAAAUUCAAUAACACUUGUUUUGGACGUAUUUGUUUUUAUUAAUCUGUAGACGUGUAAAUCUUUUUGGUGAACUGAUAUCACAAUAAGUCCAUUAUAGUUUGAAUAGCACAGAUCUUAGAGUCCAAGGUUUUUCUUUUCAUGUUUCACCACAGAAAAUAUAGGAAUGGAAUACAUUUCGCUGGCCCCUCGAGUCUCAACACUUUUUGCAUUUCUUUAUGAUUCAGUGACGAAUCAUGGCAAAAUACACACAAGAUAUGACCUUAAGGUCAUUUUGAAAGUUGAACUAUUUGUGAUUUGUACAGCUUGAGAUAAAAGAUUCUUCAAGUGUCAGUUUUUUAACCAAGAUGUGGAGGAUUUUGAUCCUUUUAGCUCAAGGGCAACAAAGAAUUAAAUAGCUUAUUUAAAGCACACCAUCAGAUCCUAAUUAGUGGCCAUGAGUUCUGGACUACCUGAGGAUUUGGAGACAUUGGGUCGUGUUUGUACAUUCUUGAUAUGCUAUCAGUGAUCCAGACGCAAAUCUGGAAAGCUCUGCGCAGGAAAUGAAGAAACUUCUUGGCUACAAGUGAUGCAAAGAGCCUAGUGGACAGAUUGCUGCCCAUGUUUACAAACAGUGCCUUUAUUAAUAUAUAAUGCGAGAUUAAUGAAAGUCUAGUUCAAAGGUCAGAAUUUUAAUAGCGCAUUUAACAUUUAACACUUUUUCUGUGAAUCUAAUAUGGUUCAGACGACAGCGCUGUAAUUGAGAUAUAGUCUACAUCCGCAUUAAAACUGCAAUACUACGCUUGAAGUGGUAAUGUCAAGUGUCUCCCUUGAGCAAUGGCUGCGGACAGCAUUAACAUCUCUCUUUUCCUCUGCCUUGUCUCAGCGUCUGGUCUUGAUGGAUUGCCUGUGCACAUGAUGGAGCGGUGAGGAAGAGAUGAUGAAUUGGUCACGUCAAGCUCGUUCCUAAAGACAGCGGGGGCUUGAGGUAGAUGCCACCCAGCAGAACAGCCAAAACUAUGAUCUCAGAUCAGUUGCAUGUGUAAAGAAGCAAUGCAAUCCACCAUUCCACAGAAGGGUGUUGCAUAUGCCACUGAAAUCUGGAUAUCCACGGGCCUCUUUGAACAGGGAUUACCGUCCUCACAGUCCAGGAUUUAACUUUGAUGUGAGCACAGCGGUGGAUGCCAGAUGAUGAGGCCCAUCUGUGGUCUGGAUCUUUUAGGAUUUUAUGCUCACCUGCUUGAGAGGAUCCACGUUGUCACAGAUGUGAUCGUUCUGAGUCAGGCUGAUGGAUCAUUGCAUAUGCACAAAUCACAAUACAUAAUUAAAAGAUAAACAAAUAGUAGAAAGAAGAUAGUAACUGAUCAGAGUUCUCUACAAACUUGGGUUCCCAAAUGGGGGUUUUCACUGCGAUUCCAUAGAAUAACCAUUUUGGUUCCCCAAAGAACCUUAUUUGUUAGUGUGAUAAACAUUUGAAUUAUCGGAAAAAAAUGUUUUUACACUGUGUAGAACAUUUUGUCCAAUGGAAAGUUCCAAGGAUGUUAAAGGUUCUUUAUUCAAUUUAAAAUGCCAAUAAAGAACAUUUCUAUUUAAGAAUGAACAUGGUCAGUUUACAAUCUUUAGUACAGUAAUUCUGUAAUGCUUGGAAUACGAGAUUAAUAUUGCCUAGAAAACCCAGUGUACGUGAAGUGAAGUGCAAAGAGUUUCAAAAGGGAACGAGGACAAAACAAUAUACUAGACAUGUUUUUUUUUUUUUUUCUUUUAUCUUAUAGUGGGCGAGAAUGGAGGGCCUCGGAGCAAAGAGCACUCAUACGUUAUGAGUAUAUGCACAAUCCUCGCCCACAGUUUAGGAUGAAGUAGUUUAAGAUUAUACAAUUACUAAAGUUUUAAAGCAGAACAUAUAUGGCCAACCUGUAUAUCCUAAAACCAUCCAAAUGCAGUUUAGGCUAUUGUGGUUCUGUAGACACCGGUUUCUGGGAAUCAGUUUGUUAUGCUUGGCAACAGUUCUCCAACUUGACUACAGGAUGGAGCCUUGCAGAUUUGUGUAAUUCUAUAGAAAUCAGUGAUGUACAAUGAAGCUGAUUGUAUUUUCCAACCAGUUUCAAAGUUAUCAUCAGGUCAGAACUUGCAAACCACUUGAAAAUGUCAUGGUCGAUGCCUUUAAAUCUUCAAUUCUUUUCCGGUUACACAAGAGAAAGACCAUUUUUCUAGUUUAGUCUGUUGUGACGGUUGACCUCAUGAACAGAGGGAUUCUUCUUGGCACACUGGAGUGGGCUGCAGCUCUGGGUAUCUGCCACAUACCACCAAGCCCUCCGAUGUACAUGGCACUGUGUCUUUGGGCGUUUCUUCCGAGCAGAGCAACCGGCUAGCAUGGCAUCCAAACAACAACUGCCCACUCAGACCAAAACAAGCCACACUUCUUCUUCACUACGCUGGCAAACAGGCCAGCAAAACAAACAAACCAAGGGCAGUGGAAGUUCUGCCACUCCAUGUCACUGCGAGUAUCAUACAGUGGUUUUCAUAGACAAUCUGAAAGAAAUGUUGGAGGAAAAAAUGAUCUCAUGUUUGGCUGCCACAAAAUCUGAAUGUUUUGACAGUUACUGGUAAGCUAAUUUGGGUGGUCAUACUUAUCAGGAUGCAGAUCUGGAAUGGCCACAGACAACAUUUACAUCACUCCAUGCCAUUUCUUUCCAACAUAGCUGAGGUUUCACUGCGGCGUUACGGAAGGAUGACUGUUUAAAUGAUCAGUUUAUGCAAAUACUUCCUUAUUAAAUUCAGAUUGUUUUUUAAGUGUUCUUGAGAUCUUAUGCCAACAAGUUUAUAAAAGAAAGAAUGGCGACUUUUUGUCCACUUUUGAUUAUAUUGUAAAUUUGAUUGUAUAUUUUUACUGCAAAAUGUUUGCACACAUUCUGAUCAAUUAACUGCAUAAACAGCACUCCUUUAUGGAAUAGAGUAGCUUAAAAUGAAAUAAAUGUUUCAUCUUUAUUUGUGUUCACUCCGUUUUUAUUUUAUUCAUUUUUUUAAUCCGUUUUUCAUAUUGCCAGUGGCUGUCAAGUGUAAACACUAACAUAAUAUUAUAUUUCACUCAUGCUGUGAAGAUUUGUCAUAUAAUUUUGACAUAUUUUUCAAAUAUUUCCACAUUACAAUUGAACCACAUCCAUGAAUGGAAUAUUACAUUGAAUAAUCGUUUCUGAGUGAACCUUUCCUUUAAAGAAUAAAACCGUCAGGAGGCUAAAAAGAGGGGUGAAGAGAUGAGAGAGAGUGAGAGAGAGAGAAAGAGAGAGAGGAGAGAUUACCGCACUAAAAGCUUUUCUGCUCUGGCUAAAGGCUAAUGUUAUUGCCAUACUGAAGAAAUCUCCGGAGCUGAAGAAAAAAGCGCUGAGCUGAUUCAUAAAUGGACUGUGAGGAUCCUCUGGGACAAUAAUUAGACAAGUCUCAGGCUCAAUCUCGCUUCAUCCCGCAUGUUUUCUCUCUCAGAUGAUGGAUUUACAGCCUUGGCGUGGUCUGGGAAAUAAUUCAUCAGGUUUUAGUGAGAGUUUUAGCCGUUAAUUGAACAGUUCCUUACCUCAGCUCGGCAGCGCGCGAAACUCUAGUCCUACGCCAACGGUUCACAGCUCUUGAAUAUUAAGUAGAUCCCAAUGACGUCGCCGAUAGCUUUCCAAUGGGAAACGAGUCUCUUGUAAACUUUUGUUAAAUUAUUCUGACGUCGCCUACAGAACGUCCAAUAGCAAAAGCUUGAUCUUUAAAUAUUAAUUACGUGUUUCUGACGUCGCUUGGUAUUCGUCAACCGGCUAAUACAUGGAUCAUGAAUACUAAGUGGCAAACUUUCACCAUAGUAGGAUUGGUAAAUUCGCGUCGCAGUUCGAGGUUAAAUGACAUGAUCUGGAGAGGUUCACUUCAUUUCCAACAUCCUCAUGUGAACCAUCACAAUACUUGAUUUAAUGCGGGCACAGGCCGCCCCAGGACACAGCUGGACGGCAUCUGCGAAGCAUUUGGAUGUGAAGCGGGUGGGUGGGAGGUUCGGCUGUGGUGGGGAGGGUUCCUGGCACCGUGAUUUGGUAGAUAAACAGAAAUGAAAAUCACAUUGCCAGGGAUUUCCACCCCUGCGCAGUUCUCCAGGUGCCCCACAUCUACACCACCUCCCGCUGGUAUGUGUCCAGCUCCUGACCGGGUGUAUUUGGGAGAACCUGUAACAACAAGAGAUUUGUCUGAAUUAUUUAUCAUUCAUCAAAACUUACUUGCUCCAUCUAGGGAAUGAUUUUACUUUAAUAAGUCAAGCAUGACUACAUGAUAUUACUAAUGCUCAUACUUGGGGUUAUGGAUUUAAACAAACUCCUAACCAUAAGAAUAAAACUUUGGUUGCUUGCUUUUCUAAGAAAUCCGAAUUGUUUUGCCUGGUGGAUGAUAAAAUGUGCAAAUGAAUCCUUAGGCAAAGCGUGAAGUACCAAAAUAGAGCCCUUUUGACUUUGCAAUAGCAAUGUCCUGGCAACUC
Long non-coding RNA from Carassius auratus (goldfish), 4622 nucleotides. RefSeq lists it as uncharacterized. The record is from RefSeq and is a predicted model, not a curated record. The transcript has 2 exons. NCBI's taxonomy places the organism in Eukaryota, Metazoa, Chordata, Actinopteri, Cypriniformes, Cyprinidae.